Molecule: ribosomal RNA, 253 nt
Filed under: uncultured bacterium
Lineage: Bacteria
Description: partial 16S ribosomal RNA
Rfam family: Bacterial small subunit ribosomal RNA
Source: RNAcentral
UACAGAGGUCUCAAGCGUUGUUCGGAUUCAUUGGGCGUAAAGGGUGUGUAGGUGGCGCCGUAAGUCGGGUGUGAAAUUUCGGAGCUUAACUCCGAAACUGCAUUCGAUACUGCGGUGCUUGAGGACCGGAGAGGAGACUGGAAUUCAUGGUGUAGCAGUGAAAUGCGUAGAGAUCAUGAGGAAGACCAGUGGCGAAGGCGGGUCUCUGGACAGUUCCUGACACUGAGACACGAAGGCCAGGGGAGCAAACGGG